CUUAAUUUCUUAUUGGAUUCCCCGCCACUUUGCAAAUCAUAAUCUCUCGUUUUCUCGUUUUUAGUUUUUUUAUGGGUGAUUCAAAAAUGAAAGUUGAAAAUAUGUAAGCACAUCACGCUUUGUUUUCACCCUGUAGCUAUAUCACGCUAUUGAAUCUGUGGAUAUCUUCUGCGUUACACAACAAGAGAACACUUCGCGGAGGAAUACCAUCCGGUGAUACUUCGUACUAUAUUUUAUAACCACUAAAUAUCUAAUUUAAAUAGUGCGGAGGAAUACCAUCCGGUGUGACUUCGUGCUAUAUUUUUUAACCACAAAAUAUCUAAUUUAAAUAGUUGUUUUUGUGGUUUUAAACGAGCUUCCUAGAAUAAAAUGUUUUAAGUUUUUAAAAUAUAAAGUUGAGAGAAACUGGAAUUUAUUUCCAUUCAGUAAAGGUUUUUGUGCUUGAUGUCAACUGUUGCAGCAAAUCUUUCUAAUAAUAUGAACUAUAUUUGUGUGAUUGAUGAGAGGCAUUAUUAUGAAAGAAGCGUUGACAUUAUGACGGAAUAAUUCAGAUAUGUAUUUCAAACUUAACAGGAGGACUCCAAAGCAGUGCGAUUACAUCAUUCCAUCAACUAUGCUGCAAUUACCGAAUUUCCAGACCAAGAAAAUGCAUUUCGUGUUCAUAAUGUGCUUGAUAAUUGUUUUCGUGCACCAAUCAUCACCAAAAUCUUCUGUGGACUACAAAACAAAGUUUGCUUUGGCUCAAGCUCACUAUGAGAGAGUGAGAUGGAACACUGAAUGCUCACGACCACAACCUCGAGUGUUCCGGGUUGGAACACCGGAGUUGAAACUUGUGCCAUCUGCCACCAUACUUCACAGAUGUGGGGACUCUACGGGAUGCUGUGACUUUUCAGUUGAAAGUUGUGUGGCAAAAACCAAAGAAAGAUUAAAACUCUACUUUUUUGUAAAAUCUUCAAAUGGCCGACAAUGGAGGAAAAAUAGGAGAUUUAAAGUGACAAAAUUAUUUUUGUCCAAUCAUACUUCGUGUCAUUGUGUUGAUAAAAGAAAUAUACCUAGGUGAUGUUGUACCUUGUUGCAUGAUCUUCUUGUUUUUCAAUUAUUUGGUUAACAAUGAUCGCAAUGUCAACAAUGGAGAAAGAAUAAAAGACUGAAAAUGACGAAAUUAUUUUUUUUUCGAACUAUACUUCGCGUCACUGUGUAGAAAAGAAAUAUAUAAAGGUGACAUGCAUCAUUA
Molecule: long non-coding RNA, 1234 nt
Organism: Parasteatoda tepidariorum (common house spider)
Lineage: Eukaryota; Metazoa; Arthropoda; Arachnida; Araneae; Theridiidae
Source: RefSeq, a predicted model, not a curated record